This 301-nucleotide ribosomal RNA is filed under the name uncultured bacterium. RNAcentral's name for it is "partial 16S ribosomal RNA". It matches the Rfam family "Bacterial small subunit ribosomal RNA", at positions 509 to 809 of the family's 1533-position model. The record is from RNAcentral.
CAGCAGCCGCGGUAAUACAGAGGGUGCGAGCGUUAAUCGGAUUUACUGGGCGUAAAGCGUGCGUAGGCGGCUUUUCAAGUCGGAUGUGAAAUCCCUGAGCUUAACUUAGGAAUUGCAUUCGAUACUGGGAAGCUAGAGUAUGGGAGAGGAUGGUAGAAUUCCAGGUGUAGCGGUGAAAUGCGUAGAGAUCUGGAGGAAUACCGAUGGCGAAGGCAGCCAUCUGGCCUAAUACUGACGCUGAGGUACGAAAGCAUGGGGAGCAAACAGGAUUAGAUACCCCGGUAGUCCCUGUCUCUUAUAA